This 670-nucleotide long non-coding RNA is filed under the name Ananas comosus (pineapple). RNAcentral describes it as "long non-coding RNA (ACOM_LNC014855)". Lineage: Eukaryota; Viridiplantae; Streptophyta; Magnoliopsida; Poales; Bromeliaceae. The record is from RNAcentral.
UUACUGUCCAAGUCACUGUCGCCCAAGCCGCCGCCACCAUCUCCGCCGCUGUCGCCACACAAGCCGCCGCCGCCGCCGAAGCCGGCUUCGAAUCCUAUCACAAAAGAGGGAUUUGUACUUUUAUUGUAUGAUUCAUAGGGUUGUCUAAUAGUUUUAGUUGUUUAUCAUUUUUUGUCUUAAAUGUUUGAGAUUAUAUUGAUUCAGAGCGAUCUUUUAUGCUGAAGUAAUGAAGAAAAUGGAAAAAAGGGCAAUUUUUUACUAGGAAUGGUUUCAAUACUCUUUAUAUAGCAAAUUUUUUUCUAGAGAUAAAAGAGAGAAAUGGAGAUAGAUCUAGAUAGAGGGGAAAGAGAGAGAUUUCAAGAGGGAGUGGUUUCGAGACUCUUAAUAUAGUAAUUUUUUUCUGGAGAAAAGAGGAGAGAGGGAUUUAGAGAAAGACAGAAAGAGGGGAAAGAGAGAGACAUCCAAAUAGAGUGAGAGUAAGAGGAGAGGGAGAAGAAGGAGGGAAGAGAGAGGCAUUUGGAGGAGGCAACAGAGCACACUGCGUGGAGAAGAUGAAGGAGAGAGCGCCACAUAGAUUGAAGGAAUCGUCAAAUUAUAAAUUGUAUAGGUGUGGAUUUCUCCUUUUUUUCGGGUAGGAUAGCGAUAAGAAAAUGGUUACAGCACUAGAAGA